UAUCCUACGGGGGGCAGCAGUGAGGAAUAUUGGUCAAUGGACGCAAGUCUGAACCAGCCAUGCCGCGUGCAGGAAGACGGCUCUAUGAGUUGUAAACUGCUUUUGUACGAGGGUAAACGCAGAUACGCGUAUCUGUCUGAAAGUAUCGUACGAAUAAGGAUCGGCUAACUCCGUGCCAGCAGCCGCGGUAAUACGGAGGAUGCGAGCGUUAUCCGGAUUUAUUGGGUUUAAAGGGUGCGCAGGCGGGAGAUCAAGUCAGCGGUAAAAUGUCGGGGCUCAACCCCGGCCGGCC
Molecule: ribosomal RNA, 292 nt
Filed under: uncultured bacterium
Lineage: Bacteria
Description: partial 16S ribosomal RNA
Rfam family: Bacterial small subunit ribosomal RNA
Source: RNAcentral